UGCAAGUCGAACGAGCGAGAGAGAGCUUGCUUUCUCAAGCGAGUGGCGAACGGGUGAGUAACGCGUGAGGAACCUGCCUCAAAGAGGGGGACAACAGUUGGAAACGACUGCUAAUACCGCAUAAGCCCACGACCCGGCAUCGGGUAGGGGGAAAAGGAGCAAUCCGCUUUGAGAUGGCCUCGCGUCCGAUUAGCUAGUUGGUGAGGUAACGGCCCACCAAGGCGACGAUCGGUAGCCGGACUGAGAGGUUGAACGGCCACAUUGGGACUGAGACACGGCCCAGACUCCUACGGGAGGCAGCAGUGGGGAAUAUUGCACAAUGGGGGAAACCCUGAUGCAGCGACGCCGCGUGGAGGAAGAAGGUCUUCGGAUUGUAAACUCCUGUUGUUGAGGAAGAUAAUGACGGUACUCAACAAGGAAGUGACGGCUAACUACGUGCCAGCAGCCGCGGUAAAACGUAGGUCACAAGCGUUGUCCGGAAUUACUGGGUGUAAAGGGAGCGCAGGCGGGAAGACAAGUUGGAAGUGAAAUCCAUGGGCUCAACCCAUGAACUGCUUUCAAAACUGUUUUUCUUGAGUAGUGCAGAGGUAGGCGGAAUUCCCGGUGUAGCGGUGGAAUGCGUAGAUAUCGGGAGGAACACCAGUGGCGAAGGCGGCCUACUGGGCACCAACUGACGCUGAGGCUCGAAAGUGUGGG
RNAcentral lists this ribosomal RNA (696 nucleotides) under uncultured bacterium. RNAcentral's name for it is "bacterial SSU rRNA". It matches the Rfam family "Bacterial small subunit ribosomal RNA", at positions 56 to 765 of the family's 1533-position model. The record is from RNAcentral.